RNAcentral lists this ribosomal RNA (1408 nucleotides) under Lactiplantibacillus plantarum. RNAcentral describes it as "bacterial SSU rRNA". It matches the Rfam family "Bacterial small subunit ribosomal RNA", at positions 59 to 1434 of the family's 1533-position model. Lineage: Bacteria; Bacillati; Bacillota; Bacilli; Lactobacillales; Lactobacillaceae. The record is from RNAcentral.
CAGUCGAACGACUCUGGUAUUGAUUGGUGCUUGCAUCAUGAUUUACAUUUGAGUGAGUGGCGAACUGGUGAGUAACACGUGGGAAACCUGCCCAGAAGCGGGGGAUAACACCUGGAAACAGAUGCUAAUACCGCAUAACAACUUGGACCGCAUGGUCCGAGUUUGAAAGAUGGCUUCGGCUAUCACUUUUGGAUGGUCCCGCGGCGUAUUAGCUAGAUGGUGAGGUAACGGCUCACCAUGGCAAUGAUACGUAGCCGACCUGAGAGGGUAAUCGGCCACAUUGGGACUGAGACACGGCCCAAACUCCUACGGGAGGCAGCAGUAGGGAAUCUUCCACAAUGGACGAAAGUCUGAUGGAGCAACGCCGCGUGAGUGAAGAAGGGUUUCGGCUCGUAAAACUCUGUUGUUAAAGAAGAACAUAUCUGAGAGUAACUGUUCAGGUAUUGACGGUAUUUAACCAGAAAGCCACGGCUAACUACGUGCCAGCAGCCGCGGUAAUACGUAGGUGGCAAGCGUUGUCCGGAUUUAUUGGGCGUAAAGCGAGCGCAGGCGGUUUUUUAAGUCUGAUGUGAAAGCCUUCGGCUCAACCGAAGAAGUGCAUCGGAAACUGGGAAACUUGAGUGCAGAAGAGGACAGUGGAACUCCAUGUGUAGCGGUGAAAUGCGUAGAUAUAUGGAAGAACACCAGUGGCGAAGGCGGCUGUCUGGUCUGUAACUGACGCUGAGGCUCGAAAGUAUGGGUAGCAAACAGGAUUAGAUACCCUGGUAGUCCAUACCGUAAACGAUGAAUGCUAAGUGUUGGAGGGUUUCCGCCCUUCAGUGCUGCAGCUAACGCAUUAAGCAUUCCGCCUGGGGAGUACGGCCGCAAGGCUGAAACUCAAAGGAAUUGACGGGGGCCCGCACAAGCGGUGGAGCAUGUGGUUUAAUUCGAAGCUACGCGAAGAACCUUACCAGGUCUUGACAUACUAUGCAAAUCUAAGAGAUUAGACGUUCCCUUCGGGGACAUGGAUACAGGUGGUGCAUGGUUGUCGUCAGCUCGUGUCGUGAGAUGUUGGGUUAAGUCCCGCAACGAGCGCAACCCUUAUUAUCAGUUGCCAGCAUUAAGUUGGGCACUCUGGUGAGACUGCCGGUGACAAACCGGAGGAAGGUGGGGAUGACGUCAAAUCAUCAUGCCCCUUAUGACCUGGGCUACACACGUGCUACAAUGGAUGGUACAACGAGUUGCGAACUCGCGAGAGUAAGCUAAUCUCUUAAAGCCAUUCUCAGUUCGGAUUGUAGGCUGCAACUCGCCUACAUGAAGUCGGAAUCGCUAGUAAUCGCGGAUCAGCAUGCCGCGGUGAAUACGUUCCCGGGCCUUGUACACACCGCCCGUCACACCAUGAGAGUUUGUAACACCCAAAGUCGGUGGG